Molecule: long non-coding RNA, 2424 nt
Organism: Oreochromis aureus
Lineage: Eukaryota; Metazoa; Chordata; Actinopteri; Cichliformes; Cichlidae
Source: Ensembl
UAGGCAUUCAUUUUUAAUGGUUAGGGUUAGGGUAAGGGGCUAGGGAAACCAUUAUGUCAAUGGGAUGUCCCCACCAGGAUAGCAAACCAGACAUGUGUGUGUGUGUGUGUGUGUGUGUGUGCGUCCGUAAAAAAGAUUUGUGUGUGGACUUAGCCAAAAACCCCAUGCAAGUUACAAGUACGAAUUUUGACCCUAUUUUUCUUCCUUUUAGCUGAUUGGUUAAUGUCAUGUCAAUCACAAAUUAAACAGUCCAAUCAGAGAACAGAUGGGUUUGGCUAUCUAUCUAGAUAGAUAGAUCAGUCUAUAUAUAUUUAAACACUGAUCUUUUUUUUUUCUUUUGCACCACUUUGGGUAAAGUGAAGUGGAUGACCUGCAUCACACAGCACAUGAAGUCAGAGACACACUUCCCAAUUUUGCUGCUGAGAUGAACACUGACAUCCCAGCCAACAAUAAGGAAGGUACUUUUCAUACCAAAUGUCAGAGUUAUUUUUGCAUACAAUGUACUUUAUCUUUUAGUAGAACAGUGGGGAAAGGCUAGUGAUCCGCAAGAUGCUGCAGUUUUGUUUAAAAGGCAUCUCUUAAAGGAAAAGGAGGAGAACCCCAUAAUCACAGCUAUCAUUGGCAUUCGACAAGAUCAAACAUCCCAGAGCCGAGAGAUCAUUGCUUUCUACAAAAGACCACAGAUUGAUUGGGCAGGACCUUUUCAUUGUUCUUUACAAGGUGACAUAGCUGUUGGCACUGGGGUCCAGAGCAAGGUGGCAGUACGUUAGUCGAGUCGUCUGUGUUGCUGCUCCGUCCACGCGCAGAAUCAUGUCAGGAAAAGUCUGGAAAAAGCGCCAGAGUCCAAUUUGGGAUUACUUUGAAUAUGUUUUGAAUAAAGCAAGUGUCUUGUAGAGGAACGAGACAAAUUAUGAGGGACAUUUCUAAAGGGAAAAAAAUCCCACAAACCUUAAAGUGCACUUGAAAAGCUCACACAAGAAGGCUAAGCUAGCUUACCUUGAGAAGGUAAGGGAGCACGCCCAACCCUCAUCCCCAGAAACAGAAGCUAACCCCAGGCAAGGCAGCGUGAUGCAUCCCGAGACAACAGGACUGGGAUAUCUACAUAACUGUGUGCAGCCAACAUGACCCUUCUCUUUGAGGGACAACAGAACCAUCUAGUGCCUUCUACUUCUCAGAUUUUGGCAGACAGUGACUUUGUGGUAGCAGGCAGAAUGAUUGGGCAUUCAUUUUUGAACGAUGGGCCACGAUUGCAUGGCCUCAGCAAGGCUAUUAUUCACAUGUUGGUCCAUGCUGAUAGAGACACUGUCACUGUCCAGCUCGAUGAUGUGCCAGAUCUAGAUAUUCGUUCUACAAUUUACAGGCUUGACGGUAACAAACACCUCACUGAGCAGCAGAAGGAUGACAUUAACAAUUUGGCCAUUUCCUGGGACUUGCCACCCGUCAGUGCAGAAAACUGCAGAUGGCUGUUCCAACAGCUUCUCCAUCAUGCAGUGAUAGGCUGAACUAAAAGGCAGACAAAACACAUCAGAAAAGGUCUGAAGGACACCGGAUUGUUGACUAUGCUUCAACAAAGACCUGACACAGCCUCAGUGGUCUUUCCCCAGCAUGAAGACAGCAUUCUUACUGCACAGGCUGUUCUUAGCCACAUUGUUUGGCCAGGAGAUGAGGGCGAUGAUGAAGACGAUGAUGAUCCACCUUACCCACUAAGCAUCCAAAUGCAAACAGUGGGAUUUCUGAAGACCUACAUUGAAACAGCCACUCCAUUCCAGCUCAGCCAGCUGAUGAGGUUUUGGGUCGGGUGGGAAAUUCCGACUGGUACCAUGAAGGUUGAAGUGGUCAAAGCAGACUACCUCAUAUCCUGUACAUGUUUUGGAAUGUUGCGUGUCCCUGGGCACUUCCACGAGUACAAUGUCUUUUCCAAACAUGUUGAUGAUUGCAUUGCAACUUGUGCCACAGGUUUCGGCCUUAUUUAAAAGCAAUUUGUAGACACUGGAUGUCGAAUAAACUUUACCAUGCUUGAAAAAUGUUUUACAUAGCCAAAAGUUUCACUGUUUACGUAGGCUUAUUGAUUUUUUGGGAAUAUUGUUAUGCGAGUUUAAAUAUAAAAAUUAAAGUUACAGUUCCCACCAUUAACAUUUAUAUUUGAAGUUAAGGAACUAAUGAUUGUGUUAUUUAGGGUUGUUUUGUUAACUUGAAGUCAUUGUCAUGCAUCCGAUUCACAUCAUCUCUUUGUUUGAAGCAGUUUCAUGGAUUACAAGAGGUGUAAAAAAGUAGAUUAAUACUAAAGCUGUAUUAAAUGUUACACACAGUCCAAUGCUGUUGAAUAUAAUGUUAAUAAAAAUCUGCCACACUGUCAGCUGUGGUCAAGCUAUUUAAUUACCGCAUGCAGGACAGCUAACACACAUCAAAACAUUACAGUUCUAC